Non-coding RNA from Nicotiana tabacum (common tobacco), 338 nucleotides. Lineage: Eukaryota; Viridiplantae; Streptophyta; Magnoliopsida; Solanales; Solanaceae. The record is from RefSeq and is a predicted model, not a curated record.
UCUUUUCCUUUGUAUUUUAUAUUCCCUUAGUGUUGUUAUCGUUAUCCUGCUUUCGUGUAGUUCCUUAAAUUGCUGAACAAAGCAGCAUCUACAAUUCAAUUGGAUGCAGCAUUACGCUAAUGAGGAGUUCUUUUCUCUAACUUCAAUCAAGGAAAUUAUAUUUGUCAAGUCUUAAGGUCUUGUUGAAUUUCUUACCAACAUCUGGUUGCCAUUGAUACAGUUCUCCAACAACAGGAAAUGAAGUCAACCACAUACUAGGAGGAGUUUGAAGGCAAAGGAACAGUUUGGAGAUCUUUUAUGUUAUUUUUUGGGUCAUGUAUAUAUACAUAGAAAAUGUA